AAAGAAGGAUGUGAAAACGGGCAAGAUUCUUGCCAAAACAAUUAAUGUAUAUAGCGGGCACAUUAAGCACUUUAAGACCUGAAAUAGUUUUUUGAAAUCCGGCAAAAAAAAUCCAAAAACCAGAAAUGGUGAAUGCACUGGAUUCGUCUGGAGCACGAGAGAAAUUCACGUCGUGAGAAACAGUGUUUGUUAUUUUGCAUUUAUAAAAAAGAAACUCACCUGUAGCCAAAACAGAAAUGCAGUCCAUCAAGAAAACGUUUUCCUUUUCUUUCUCACCUGCACUAUUAAGAAUGA
RNAcentral lists this long non-coding RNA (294 nucleotides) under Fukomys damarensis (Damara mole-rat). RNAcentral describes it as "lncRNA (ENSFDAG00000030561.1)". Lineage: Eukaryota; Metazoa; Chordata; Mammalia; Rodentia; Bathyergidae. The record is from RNAcentral.